AAGUCGUAACAAGGUUUCCGUAGGUGAACCUGCGGAAGGAUCAUUACAUAAUCACGUAAUAAUGUGGGCGGCUGCGCAAGCGGUACCCGCAUUUAUUAUUAAACACUUGUGAACCCGUUAUUUGAUGCCGAUUGGCGUAGCCUAAGGUUGAGCACACUUUUGUGUGUGAGGCUGUUACGUCAAGACGUGUUAUCUAACACCAUAUAAACCAUUUGCACAACUAUUCAGACUUAAUCUAAGAUUUUCUAAUUUGAAAUACAACUUUUAACAAUGGAUCUCUUGGCUCUU
RNAcentral lists this unclassified non-coding RNA (288 nucleotides) under fungal sp. RNAcentral describes it as "partial internal transcribed spacer region". The stretch from base 1 to 46 matches the Rfam family "Eukaryotic small subunit ribosomal RNA", at positions 1786 to 1831 of the family's 1831-position model. The record is from RNAcentral. Lineage: Eukaryota; Fungi.